GGGAGCUGUCCCAAAGAAAGAAGGUGAAUCUGACAAAGCUGAAUCUGUGAAGAUUGCAAAUGGUGAAUCAUCAAAAGCUUCUGUUUCCAGCAAUGCUGACAUGGUGGAUGGAGUUACAGAUGAUGUUUCCGAGGCAGUUUCCAGUAAGAAGGAUCAGGAUGAUGAAGAAGGUGAUGAUAGUGAUGCUGAGGAUUUAGCAGAUGCAGAUGAAGAUGAAUCUGAUCUUGAUUUAGCUUGGAAGAUGCUAGAUGUUGCCAG
This 258-nucleotide unclassified non-coding RNA is filed under the name Hevea brasiliensis (rubber tree). Lineage: Eukaryota; Viridiplantae; Streptophyta; Magnoliopsida; Malpighiales; Euphorbiaceae. The record is from RNAcentral.